This 119-nucleotide small nuclear RNA is filed under the name Penicillium freii. Its description in RNAcentral is "U2 spliceosomal RNA". It matches the Rfam family "U2 spliceosomal RNA", at positions 1 to 119 of the family's 192-position model. Rfam says of the family: U2 is a small nuclear RNA (snRNA) component of the spliceosome (involved in pre-mRNA splicing). The record is from Rfam by way of RNAcentral. Lineage: Eukaryota; Fungi; Ascomycota; Eurotiomycetes; Eurotiales; Aspergillaceae.
UCAGCUCUCUUUGCCUAUUGGCUUAGAUCAAGUGUAGUAUCUGUUCUUUUCAGUUUAAUCUCUGAAAGUUUCCGUCCAGGAAACACUUUGAUUAUUCCUAUUUUUGAUGUCCGUGACUU